AAAGUCGUAACAAGGUUUCCGUAGGUGAACCUGCGGAAGGAUCAUUAGAAGGUUCGGUUGAAGACUUCCGGCUCCCUGAGAAGGGGGACGGUCGUCCUCUCCAAUCCAUCAAAACCAAUCUGUGAAACCGCCUCUUUGCUUCGGCAGCUGGACGUCAGUCCGUCAGCCUGUCGAUAGCUCCCAACCAAAACUAAUUCUUUGUUAAACGUUCCAUGUCUGAAGUUACUUAAAUAUAAACAAGUUAAAACUUUCAACAACGGAUCUCUUGGUUCUC
This 274-nucleotide unclassified non-coding RNA is filed under the name Ascomycota sp. RNAcentral describes it as "partial contains small subunit ribosomal RNA, internal transcribed spacer 1, and 5.8S ribosomal RNA". The stretch from base 1 to 47 matches the Rfam family "Eukaryotic small subunit ribosomal RNA", at positions 1785 to 1831 of the family's 1831-position model. The record is from RNAcentral. Lineage: Eukaryota; Fungi; Ascomycota.